AGCGGCGGACGGGUGAGUAACGCGUGGGUAACCUGCCUCAUACAGGGGGAUAACAGUUGGAAACGGCUGCUAAUACCGCAUAAGCGCACAGUACCGCAUGGUACGGUGUGAAAAACUCCGGUGGUAUGAGAUGGACCCGCGUCUGAUUAGGUAGUUGGUGGGGUAACGGCCUACCAAGCCGACGAUCAGUAGCCGACCUGAGAGGGUGACCAGCCACAUUGGGACUGAGACACGGCCCAA
RNAcentral lists this ribosomal RNA (240 nucleotides) under uncultured bacterium. RNAcentral's name for it is "partial 16S ribosomal RNA". It matches the Rfam family "Bacterial small subunit ribosomal RNA", at positions 94 to 334 of the family's 1533-position model. The record is from RNAcentral.